Long non-coding RNA from Drosophila virilis, 599 nucleotides. RefSeq lists it as uncharacterized. The record is from RefSeq and is a predicted model, not a curated record. Lineage: Eukaryota; Metazoa; Arthropoda; Insecta; Diptera; Drosophilidae.
UGUUGAUAGCCACACCGCUGCAUACAUUUCUUUUCCUUCGCAACGCAGCUGUAGACAAGUUCACUUUUCUCGCGCUCCCGCAACUAAUAAAUGCAUAAAAUGAUUGUGAGGUAUUGGUGAACGUGUUAAAAGCCUGGAAAAUAAAUUGAAAAUGUGUUGCAUCUGGCUGUGAUGCACUGAAAAACCACGCGCACGUGUUGCCUGGAUUAGUAAGCCGGAAAUGUCCACGUGUUGGCGCGCAUCAUUGGUUCUGUUCACCAUGCUUGAGGUGAGUUAAGAUCUGCUGCGGUUGCAGACCACAGGCAAGUGAGGUGUUGUCUAUGGAAAGAGAUAAGCCGGCGGUUCAUCAAGCAGAUCUUUAAGUAUGCCGCAACUUUUAAUGGAUCCGAUGAGAUGUCGAAAAUGUCUGCUCCGAAGCAUUUUAAGCCCGUGCAGAUUGGAAGUGAACUGUCAUUAACUCGCCUCGGCUUUACUUGGCUGGCUGGCACAAACAAUUCUCGAAAUUGAUAAAAACUGUGCCAGUCGAAUGUGUCGAAAAUGAUUUAAAAGUCUUGUACAGAAUAAAUUUGAAUAAAAAUGCUGCUUGAUAUUUUUUAUAA